GGUUGGAGUCUCGGGUUAGACGUGUGUGCAAGUCCCUUGGAACAGGGUGCCACUGAGGGUGAGAGCCCCGUAUCGUGCAUGUCGACACCUGUGAGGCCCUUCUGACGAGUCGAGUUGUUUGGGAAUGCAGCUCUAAGUGGGUGGUAAAUUCCAUCUAAGGCUAAAUAUUGGCGAGAGACCGAUAGCGAACAAGUACUGUGAAGGAAAGAUGAAAAGCACUUUGAAAAGAGAGUGAAACAGCACGUGAAAUUGUUGAAAGGGAAGGGUAUUGGGCUCGACAUGGGAUUUACGCAUCGUUGCCUCUCGUGGGCGGCGCUCUGGGUUUUUCCUGGGCCAGCAUCGGUUUUCGUUGCAGGAUAAGGACAAUUGGAAUGUGGCUCCUCGGAGUGUUAUAGCCUUUUGUAGAUGCUGCGUAUGGGGACCGAGGGCUGCGGCGGACUCGUUUCGUCUCGGAUGCUGGCA
RNAcentral lists this ribosomal RNA (462 nucleotides) under Pichia kluyveri. Its description in RNAcentral is "eukaryotic LSU rRNA". It matches the Rfam family "Eukaryotic large subunit ribosomal RNA", at positions 151 to 631 of the family's 3401-position model. Lineage: Eukaryota; Fungi; Ascomycota; Pichiomycetes; Pichiales; Pichiaceae. The record is from RNAcentral.